This 468-nucleotide ribosomal RNA is filed under the name uncultured bacterium. RNAcentral's name for it is "partial 16S ribosomal RNA". It matches the Rfam family "Bacterial small subunit ribosomal RNA", at positions 28 to 507 of the family's 1533-position model. The record is from RNAcentral.
GACGAACGCUGGCGGCGUGCUUAACACAUGCAAGUCGAACGGAAAGGCCCUGCUUUUGUGGGGUGCUCGAGUGGCGAACGGGUGAGUAACACGUGAGUAACCUGCCCUUGACUUUGGGAUAACUUCAGGAAACUGGGGCUAAUACCGGAUAGGAGCUCCUGCUGCAUGGUGGGGGUUGGAAAGUUUCGGCGGUUGGGGAUGGACUCGCGGCUUAUCAGCUUGUUGGUGGGGUAGUGGCUUACCAAGGCUUUGACGGGUAGCCGGCCUGAGAGGGUGACCGGCCACAUUGGGACUGAGAUACGGCCAAGACUGCUACGUGAGGCAGCAGUGGGGAAUAUUGCACAAUGGGCGGAAGCCGGAUGCAGCAACGCCGGGUGCGAGAUGACUGCCUUCGGGUUGUAAACCGCGUUCGCCUGUGACGAAGCGUGAGUGACGGUAAUGAGUAAAGAAGCAACGGCUAACUACGUG